GUGGGGAAUAUUGGACAAUGGGGGCAACCCUGAUCCAGCAAUGCCGCGUGAGUGAUGAAGGCCUUCGGGUUGUAAAGCUCUUUUGCCAGGGACGAUGAUGACGGUACCUGGAGAAUAAGCCCCGGCUAACUUCGUGCCAGCAGCCGCGGUAAUACGAAGGGGGCGAGCGUUGUUCGGAAUUACUGGGCGUAAAGGGCGCGUAGGCGGCCAUUUGAGUCAGGCGUGAAAAUCCUGGGCUUAACCCGGGGACUGCGCUUGAUACGGGAUGGCUUGAAGUCGGGAGAGGAUGGCGGAAUUCCCAGUGUAGAGGUGAAAUUCGUAGAUAUUGGGAAGAACACCGGUAGCGAAGGCGGCCAUCUGGCUCGAUCUUGACGCUGAGGCGCGAAAGCGUGGGGAGCAAACAGGAUUAGAAACCCGAGUAGUCC
This 425-nucleotide ribosomal RNA is filed under the name uncultured bacterium. RNAcentral describes it as "bacterial SSU rRNA". It matches the Rfam family "Bacterial small subunit ribosomal RNA", at positions 354 to 796 of the family's 1533-position model. The record is from RNAcentral.